Molecule: ribosomal RNA, 445 nt
Filed under: uncultured soil bacterium
Lineage: Bacteria
Description: bacterial SSU rRNA
Rfam family: Bacterial small subunit ribosomal RNA
Source: RNAcentral
AGAGUGAACGCUGGCGGCAGGCCUAACACAUGCAAGUCGAACGGCAGCACAGCAGUAGCAAUACUGUGGGUGGCGAGUGGCGGACGGGUGAGGAAUACAUCGGAAUCUACCUUGUCGUGGGGGAUAACGUAGGGAAACUUACGCUAAUACCGCAUACGACCUACGGGUGAAAGCGGCGGACCGCAAGGCGUCGCGCGAUUGGAUGAGCCGAUGUCCGAUUAGCUAGUUGGCGGGUAAUGGCCCACCAAGGCGACGAUCGGUAGCUGGUCUGAGAGGAUGAUCAGCCACACUGGAACUGAGACACGGUCCAGACUCCUACGGGAGGCAGCAGUGGGGAAUAUUGGACAAGUGGGACGCAAGCCUGAUCCAGCCAUGCCGCGUGUGUGAAGAGGCCUUGGUGUAAGCACUUUGCGAAAGAAAGCACUGGUUAAUACCCCGUGUCAGU